This is a long non-coding RNA of Acanthopagrus latus (yellowfin seabream), 1864 nucleotides long. RefSeq lists it as uncharacterized. The transcript is spliced from 4 exons. The record is from RefSeq and is a predicted model, not a curated record. NCBI's taxonomy places the organism in Eukaryota, Metazoa, Chordata, Actinopteri, Spariformes, Sparidae.
UUUAAAUGUUUAUAUCCUGUUCAUCCCCUUAUAUCUCGAAAUGGCCCGAUCAGCCGCUAUAUAUAUGUUCCUAACCAUGUUUUGAGCCCAGUGCUGUUGUGUUGACUGUGUUUUUGAGCUCAGUUAGUCUCCAGACAAAUUAUUUCUUUUCCCACUUGUUUUUUUUUUCAUUUGCUGGAUCCUUACAUGACACUGAAGCUCUGUAGAUGAAGCCCAUGAGUUGCAGUUAAAAGAUCCAGAAGAACAUUUGAGCGUUAGAGUUCAUUGAUGAUCUUGGAAAUAAUGUUAUGAUGGGAGCCUGACAUGAAACUCCAUGGGCGGAUGAAGACCAUGAAUUGCAGUUGAAAGCUCCUUCUGCUGACGUUCAAAGUCGUCUUUGCCCUGCAGAGGAAGACACAGGAAGGUGAGAGGCGGCAUUCAGACGAGCUCAGAUGGAGGGAUGUCGUAAACGCCUUGUGUCCGCGGGUCCAUCUGAGGCGGGGGGACGUCGUACACUCCCUGGUUUCUGGCAGCGGGGAACAUCUGACCGGGGGGAAUAUCGUACACCUGAAACACAAAACAAACACGAUGAUAAACACCAAAUAUGUAAAACUCAUGUUUAUGAUCAUGAUGAACGAUUAAAUGUAUUUGUAUGUUUGAUUUAAAGGUAAAAGAAUAGGCCACGUUCAAACUACUAGAGGGCAGCAUAUCACCAAGAUAACCUCCAACUGCUGCUAACUGUAGCUGCUGUUAGCUAGUUAGCUCAGUUAACAGUGCAGUUAGCGGUUUAAUGUGAAAAUACAGGCCGGGACUGACUUCAGAGGAUAUCUCUGCAGUAAAAUACAUAGACGUCUUUGAUAUAAAAGCAACAUUAGUUCAAAAUUAUUUUAUUCUGCACCCUCAAACUGCAGCCUUUUAUUUUGUAGGAGCACUUCUAGUGUUAAUAACUAGCUUUAUACAAUGAAGAGAUGAAGUCCUGCCUCUUCCCUUUGUGCCACAUGGGACCGUUUUUUUUUGGAAAACAAAAAUGAUAAUGAUAAGAGACAAAUAUAGCCUGUUUUAAUUGUGCACAUUUGAUGUUUGUGAAUUUAAAAGAUAUUUUUUCAAGUCCAGAAAGUCACAGUUUGUCUUAAAGUUUGUAAAAUAUCAGUGAACACCAACGUGGCUGUCAGCUCGACACAGGAAAGGGACUAGAAAACGUGAAAUCACAGAAGAAAGUCUGUUCAUAUUUACAGGUAAAGCUACAAACAUACAAAAGGAAAGUUGGUCAGUAUUGUGAUUAAGCUGAUAUAUACGGUACCGGCUCUACAGGGUUUUGGUCUUCAGUUUCCUCAAGCUUAAAUGUCCUGUAACCUCGUCCUACAUGUCUUUAUUCUGACAUGUUUUGUGUUGCAAUAAGAGGAAAGUCAUGUAUUACAGGCUUAUAUUUCGUCAGUCUUAUGACAAAUACCAUAUUUGUGAUUCAAGUCAUGAUUCAAACAGGAUCAAAAGAUGAAUUUGUCUCUCGCCUUUUGCUAGCAUACAUGUUUUUUUAUGAACUAAGGUCCCAUCUCAGUCCCCCAGAGGGAGCACAGCAGGGUUUACAGGCUUAAACCCGAGAUGACGGGACAAAAAUGUAACUGUCAGGGAUCUUUUCUGAGAAAAUUGGGUCACUGCACAGAACAGGAUAUGUGGCAGAUUCAAAUACAGAACAGAGUGAAGAUAAAAAGACACAGCCCUGUGGUUGUGACCUCCUGCUGUGGUGACUGUAAUGUUUCUGGUUUGCUCGAAUGAUCCAUUUACUUUAUUUCAGAUGUCAACAGUAGCAGGUCGGAGCAAAAUGUGAUGUGACUCUAAUUUUCAUGACCAACAUUUGAUGUGAGUUGAUUAAAAACAGAAAAAAUAA